UACGUAGGCAGCAAGCGUUGUGCGGAGUUACUGGGCGUAAAGGGUGUGUAGGCGGUCCUCUAAGUUUGGUGUGAAAUCUCCCGGCUCAACUGGGAGGGUGCGCCGAAAACUGGGGGGCUAGAGUGCGGGAUGGGAGAGUGGAAUUCCUGGUGUAGCGGUGAAAUGCGUAGAUAUCAGGAGGAACACCUGUGGUGUAGACGGCUCUCUGGACCGCAACUGACGCUGAGACACGAAAGCGUGGGUAGCAAACAG
RNAcentral lists this ribosomal RNA (252 nucleotides) under uncultured bacterium. RNAcentral's name for it is "partial 16S ribosomal RNA". It matches the Rfam family "Bacterial small subunit ribosomal RNA", at positions 524 to 775 of the family's 1533-position model. The record is from RNAcentral.